GGAAGGAGAACUUAGGAACGAACCUGAAGCAAGAUGGCAUUAAGGCUGGCGGGGUGACACCGCAGUCCCUGCCCUCACCCCAUGCAGCACCGGCUCACACAGGACAUCUCAACGCAAGGAGCAGAUGCUGGUGUGCGUGGCUUUGGGGCUGUUAACCCGGCAGCCCGCUGGGGAGCUCCCAUGGCUGCUCCACCCGCAGCAUCACGGGCUGCAUACUCUGGGACAUCCCCUCCAGGGGCCCCUAAAUGUCAGGCCAGAAAGGCAGAUGUCAUACGUGAAGAUCUGUGGUUUUCAAAUCAUCGGUUUUGCAUGUUGGAGUUGGAUUCUCUUUAUGGUGCUUUUAGAGCAUUUUAGUUUUCCUCACUAGGGUCGUUCUUUGGGUGUAAAGCAAACCAUGAGGCAACCCCACUGUGCCCCACGAGGACGAGAGCCAUGCACCCUCCUGGCAGUGAAACAGGAGAGAGGAGGAGUGAGCUGCCCAGAGUUGGUGAGCCCAGGGCUGCUAUUUUGACUCUUCCUCCCCUGAAUGAAUCACUCCCAGGCAGCCCCAUAGAAAUUUCAGGCCGACAAAGGAUGUGGGGUUGCAUCCAAGUCAGGUACUUGCCUCCGGAUCCAGCCCUGUGGGCACAGCACCAGGCCGUGCCAAAAACAGGAUUAAUACUUUGCGUCAGGACGGUGCCUCCCACACAGGAAAUUUAGCAGACACAAAAUAACGUUAAAAGGCCUUAUAUCACAGCAGAACGAAAAAUGCUGGCAACAGGAGGGAGAACGAAAGUGGAUUCAAAGCGAGUGGUUGUUUUUUCCAUAAUCAUGCUGCUUAAUAACAUCAGACAAGAGUUGUCCUAAUUUUCUACAAGACUGGCCUGCGAUCAGCCCAUGGGAAGGAGACACAAAUGCAGCUCUGCGCUGCGUCACCUCCAGCGGAUGCUCUUGGUUUCGUCGCCCUGUGUGCUGUGAUGGGGGAAGUGCUGCCCUGGCCACUUCCCCAGGCAGCGUGGAAACCCCAAAAUCUGUCUGGGAGCCCCACAGGCAGCCCACAGCUUCAACACAGGCACGUUGGUGGGGUCCUGAUGUCCGCGCUGAGGAGCCUCCAUCCAUGAGUGACCGCCCGUACCUUUCUUCAGGUGCCUUCAGGUCUGUUAUCUGAGGUGUGCAUCAGACCAUUUACUGCCACAGGGCACCUCUGAGAAGUUCCUUGGUUGGGUAACGUGUCUGAAAGUUUCUAAGAGCCCACAAAACUAAAAAAAAAAGGUGAGUUCCGAGACCAAAUACCUGGUAAAUGUGUCCCAGAAACACCGCAAGUUUUUCAGCAGCUGGCCCCAUUGGCCCUGUGGAAGCUGUGCCCUGUGUGCCAGGCACAAUGCUGUAAGGUACACACAGGCGUUCUGGCCUUGAGGUGGAAAAUAUCACAAGAAUAGUUCUGGUAAUGAUCCAGACACAAUUUCUAAUAGGAUUAGGAAUAAGCACGAGGCCUGGGAGUGGGGUAACUCUUCCUGUGCCGCAGGGCUUCUCCCCCUGCAAGCACCUGGGUCACUGGCUCAUUGCGGUGCAGAAUUUGAGCUCUGUUUUCUUGCUUUGGGCUUUUGAAUUAAUUCCAUGUACUUGAGUAUAGAAAUAACUUAUUUUAGGCUCAGGUCCUGGCAGCCACCCAGGCUGGGGCACUGCUUCCCAAACCAUCCUCAGAGGCUCUGUCAUUGCACGUGGUGUACAGAUAUUCAUGUUCCUGCAAAAGGGCAACCCUCGGACUGUCGCGGCUCUACAUUCAGACUUGGAGAUCGUUUUAAUUAAUGCUCCAGCCACCCUUCUGCCUAGAAAGGUCAAUUAGAAGAGGAGUGAAUGCCUUCAUGGGCUGCUGGAGGGGAUUUGCGGCUCUGCCUCUGUUGUUGCCUCAGCUAACCCUUGUUAACUUUAUGUUAGGUUUAAAAAGAGUGAGCUGGGGUCGAGGUGUGACUGCUAGUACUGACAUUACAUGAGAUUGCUACUGAUGAGACGGAUAUGUCUCCAGAGCAAAAGAUUUACCCGUUUCUGUCCCUUCUACAUAAGUGAACAGCUUGACAAGAGUAUCAUAACCCAAAUUAAUCACUCAAAAUCUAAACAUCAUUCAAUUUCUGUGUUGCUGUACUCUUAAAAAAACAAUUCACCAGUCCUCUGCCUUUGUAAAGCCAGCUAUAAGAAAAAAGAAAAGAAAAACAACACAAAACCCCCAAACCACCCUCUCAUGCCAUGAAAAUACUUCUUCACCUUGUUAGUUUCUUCAGUAGACAAAGCUAUUCUUCCUCGAGACGCAGUCAUGCCUCAGACCAUUCAUUUUGUUUCACAAAGGCUGUUUUUCAGUCCUCAAGAACAACGAUAUUUCCUAUGAGUCAAGCAAAUUCCUCCCUUCAGAUGUGAAUACCUCAUCAAUCUCUUGGCUGGAAGGAAGUAUUCCCCCGUGUCCCUUCCUGUCUGCAUCCUGGAAAAUCGCAUCAAACCUACCAUUUCCCACUGGUUUAUUUUCAGAAGGAGAAGUUACUGACUCAAGGUUGGAGUCUUGUUUGUGACGUUGCAAUUUUUACAUGGUCCCAGUGAUUCAGGGUAUUUCAAUUGACUGCGUGGAAGAGCGCAGAGCAGUCUUGGCGUGGUUUGGUGUUGAGUAGGUCCCUCAGGGCCGGAAGCCAGGCUGAGCAUUUUCCUGCAGAGCGAGUCAGUUUUAGCUCUUACAUUUGUACCAUCGAAGCUCAUCACUGCAAAAAUUUUCCAGGAUGGCAGAGAAGGUUUUUCUGGAGAGCGACAAGCACCUGGCUGCAUGUUUGAUGCAUGGCUGGAAGAAGGAGGAGGAACCGUGCGCAGGUGGGUCCGAGUAGAUGAGAAGCCCAACGACUCUGGAGCAUUUGGGGAUACCCACUGCACAUCACUUUGCUCUGCUCCCCGUUGUUUGGCUGCAGUCUGAGCUGUUUGCAGAGGACAUGAAGAAAAUGUAAGGGUCACCAAGAGGAGAGUUACAGAAGCUACACUUCCUUUCCGAGACCCAUAAUGAAUUUUUAUGGUAUUGUUGGUACCUAUCCAACAUCUAUUACCUAUCAGUUUAUGUUUUGCAACUAGAAAA
Cygnus olor (mute swan) is the source of this 3085-nucleotide long non-coding RNA. RefSeq lists it as uncharacterized. The record is from RefSeq and is a predicted model, not a curated record. NCBI's taxonomy places the organism in Eukaryota, Metazoa, Chordata, Aves, Anseriformes, Anatidae. The transcript is spliced from 3 exons.